GAUGAACGCUGGCGGCGUGCCUAAUACAUGCAAGUCGAGCGAACAGACGAGGAGCUUGCUCCUCUGACGUUAGCGGCGGACGGGUGAGUAACACGUGGAUAACCUACUUAUAAGACUGGGAUAACUUCGGGAAACCGGAGCUAAUGCCGGAUAAUAUAUUGAACCGCAUGGUUCAAUAGUGAAAGACGGUUUUGCUGUCACUUAUAGAUGGAUCCGCGCCGCAUUAGCUAGUUGGUAAGGUAACGGCUUACCAAGGCAACGAUGCGUAGCCGACCUGAGAGGGUGAUCGGCCACACUGGAACUGAGACACGGUCCAGACUCCUACGGGAGGCAGCAGUAGGGAAUCUUCCGCAAUGGGCGAAAGCCUGACGGAGCAACGCCGCGUGAGUGAUGAAGGUCUUCGGAUCGUAAAACUCUGUUAUUAGGGAAGAACAAAUGUGUAAGUAACUAUGCACGUCUUGACGGUACCUAAUCAGAAAGCCACGGCUAACUACGUG
RNAcentral lists this ribosomal RNA (497 nucleotides) under uncultured bacterium. RNAcentral's name for it is "partial 16S ribosomal RNA". It matches the Rfam family "Bacterial small subunit ribosomal RNA", at positions 28 to 507 of the family's 1533-position model. The record is from RNAcentral.